Molecule: ribosomal RNA, 429 nt
Filed under: Bacteroidota bacterium
Lineage: Bacteria; Pseudomonadati; Bacteroidota
Description: Bacteroidetes bacterium partial 16S ribosomal RNA
Rfam family: Bacterial small subunit ribosomal RNA
Source: RNAcentral
UAGGGAAUCUUCCGCAAUGGACGCAAGUCUGACGGAGCAACGCCGCGUGAGUGAAGAAGGAUUUCGGUUCGUAAAACUCUGUUGUUAGAGAAGAACAGCGCAUAGAGUAACUGUUAUGCGUGUGACGGUAUCUAACCAGAAAGCCACGGCUAACUACGUGCCAGCAGCCGCGGUAAUACGUAGGUGGCAAGCGUUAUCCGGAAUUAUUGAGCGUAAAGCGCGCGUAGGCGGUUUUUUAAGUCUGAUGUGAAAGCCCACGGCUCAACCGUGGAGGGUCAUUGGAAACUGGAAAACUUGAGUGCAGAAGAGGAAAGUGGAAUUCCAUGUGUAGCGGUGAAAUGCGCAGAGAUAUGGAGGAACACCAGUGGCGAAGGCGACUUUCUGGUCUGUAACUGACGCUGAUGUGCGAAAGCGUGGGAAUCAAACAGG